GGUGCUGGAGAGGAAGGAAACAGUUAAAGGGUAGUUACUUGGUAUCCACCUUCAUGAUUUUAACUGACCCAUAACAAUGUUGUCAGCAGUAUAGGACUGUUGAACAGCCUGGUGUGUCAGGACCCCCAAAUGUCACUUCUGCCUAAAGCAUGUAUGUCACCUAUUUUUUUCUUCAAUAAAGAAAUUUAACAGCCAUUUCAAGAAAUCCCACUUUAAAAAAAAAAAAAAACAAACCUUUCUCUAUGUCCCCCCCCCUUUUUUUUAAUUUUCAAGAUAAUUUAACUCUUGUCUAAUAUUCUUGUGUAAGGGAUUAAUUUUCAGACCCCUUUAAAAGUGAGUGCCAUAAAGAGUCAAUAUAUAGUGUUGAAGUGGUAUUUCAGGCUAGGAAUUAUUCCCUUCUCUUGGAAUGUGAAGAUCUGUCGAUUCAUCCUGUCAUUAAUCCUGACAUACAGAACAAAGAAUGCAGUAACAUUAGCCCUGCCAGGUCACGUGUAGGACGUGCUUAUCCAGUUUUUUCCCCCUUUACCUGCAUAGUUGCUACAUACAUGUUUCUCACUGUAAAAGGCUGCCGCUGGGUGGCAGAAGCCAAAAGACCUUAUUAACGAGGCUAUAUUUUUCUUAACUUGAUCUGCAAUCCAGAAUUAGACCACAAUGCACCUUUGGUGGUAUCCAUAUAGGAUGCUAGCCUGCCUUGUAGUAAUGUUUUAUAUGUUAAAAACAAAAUAAAGACAUCAACCAUUUCACAUAUAUUCUACUACUAAAGGUAUCAAUGGAACAUGAAGACGAGUAUUUAGGCAGAAGCAAAACAGGAAACCAUCCUUACAAACAUGCUUACCUGCACAUCUGUUUGCAUGGUCAUGUGUACAUUCAAACAUGCACAUAAAGUGAACAAGAAAGUCAGCCAUUAUUUCACGCCAGACUUGAUUCCAUCCUGAGAAUUCAUGUUUAUAAUUAAAUGUGUGUUAAAUAUGCAAGCAUAUCACAAAUGUUCCUUGUCCUUUCAAAGUGCAUUUGUUCAUCAAGAUCAAUAGAAUCUUACCAGUGGGUAGGAAAGGAUCAUAUAAAAUAUGAAGAAAUAGCCAUAUUAAAUUUUUUGCUGUCAUUUGCCUCCGCAACAAAGCGAGUGUAAGUGUCUAAUGCUGAAGCUAGAGUGAACUCAUGUGCCAGCAGAGGCCUCCUCUCUUUAUAGCAAUUCUGACAAUAGGUUUGUUUGUUUGUUUGUUUGUUUUUACAAACUCAAGAAAAACAGACUCACUUGAAAAAAUGGAUGCCAGUCACCUGGUUCCCACUACUGUCGUAGCAGAUAGCGAAGGGACAAUCUGAGACUUGUAGAGAUGAUUUAAUGAGAAGCACAAUUUUUAUUGUGACCAGUCACGUUCUAUCACCAGGCACUGUCUUGUCUUUGCCCUUGCCUUUUCUGUAACUCACCAUUUAUUGUAUUUACAAAUCUAGUAAGGGUUUUGAUCACACCAAGUUCUUUGUAUUGAGAAGUCUAGGGCAGAGCUCUGGGGGAUUGUUAUUUUACAUUACCUGGCCUAGAGUAGCAUAUUAGACAACAGUCAUCAUUGCAAGUAGGAGGACCGUAAAUGGCAUUUUACAUGACUGCAAGUAUUGUUAUACCGAAUCCUAUUUUAAAAGAGUUUUAGUAACGGUGAGCUGAGAAAUUCUGGUCAUGGUGAGCAGCAGGCGCAAGCCAUGCAGCCUGUGGACUGUGCGCAUUGAUAUGUGGAGGCUGUUGAUUUCAACCUUUUUUAAACUUGUGUUUUUUAGUAAAAUUGCUUAUUUUUUUCCCAAAGGUGGAAUUUAAUGUUUUGUAGUGAUGAAUAUGAAAAUGCCUGUCAUCUUUAGAUCAUUGAAAGGUUAACUAACAUGAGAAUUUCAGAGCAAAUUCCAAUACUCUUUUAAAAAGCGUGUCUGCCCUCUCUUACUUCUAUGUAUUUGUUUAUCGACACACUCACCCUUUCUGAGAUAGCAUUUUGCUCCCUUGAUCCCCCCCUUUUUUUGUCCCUUCGAAGAGUAAAUGCUUUGUAUUUCUUUCUUUAAAAAAUUUACUUUAAAGAAGAAGCCACUUGAACCUUCAAUAAAGGCUGUUGCC
RNAcentral lists this long non-coding RNA (2095 nucleotides) under Mus musculus (house mouse). RNAcentral describes it as "long non-coding RNA chr13:83664244-83666339". The record is from RNAcentral. Lineage: Eukaryota; Metazoa; Chordata; Mammalia; Rodentia; Muridae.